UUGCUCAAUGGGGGAAACCCUGAAGCAGCAACGCCGCGUGGAGGAUGAAGGUUUUAGGAUUGUAAACUCCUUUUGUUAGAGAAGAUAAUGACGGUAUCUAACGAAUAAGCACCGGCUAACUCCGUGCCAGCAGCCGCGGUAAUACGGAGGGUGCAAGCGUUACUCGGAAUCACUGGGCGUAAAGAGCGCGUAGGCGGGAUAGUCAGUCAGGUGUGAAAUCCUAUGGCUUAACCAUAGAACUGCAUUUGAAACUACUAUUCUAGAGUGUGGGAGAGGUAGGUGGAAUUCUUGGUGUAGGGGUAAAAUCCGUAGAGAUCAAGAGGAAUACUCAUUGCGAAGGCGACCUGCUGGAACAUUACCUGACGCUGAUUGCCA
This 375-nucleotide ribosomal RNA is filed under the name Helicobacter pylori. RNAcentral's name for it is "bacterial SSU rRNA". It matches the Rfam family "Bacterial small subunit ribosomal RNA", at positions 364 to 756 of the family's 1533-position model. Lineage: Bacteria; Pseudomonadati; Campylobacterota; Epsilonproteobacteria; Campylobacterales; Helicobacteraceae. The record is from RNAcentral.